This 29-nucleotide transfer RNA is filed under the name Scrophularia koraiensis. RNAcentral describes it as "partial tRNA-Leu". The record is from RNAcentral. Lineage: Eukaryota; Viridiplantae; Streptophyta; Magnoliopsida; Lamiales; Scrophulariaceae.
GGUUCAAGUCCCUCUAUCCCCAAAAAAAG